RNAcentral lists this ribosomal RNA (253 nucleotides) under uncultured bacterium. RNAcentral's name for it is "partial 16S ribosomal RNA". It matches the Rfam family "Bacterial small subunit ribosomal RNA", at positions 524 to 776 of the family's 1533-position model. The record is from RNAcentral.
UACGUAGGGGGCAAGCGUUGUCCGGAAUCAUUGGGCGUAAAGCGCGUGUAGGCGGCUCGAUAAGUCUGCUGUGAAAGUUCAGGGCUCAACCCUGAAAUGCCGGUGGAAACUGUCGGGCUAGAGUCCGGAAGAGGCGAGUGGAAUUCCUGGUGUAGCGGUGAAAUGCGCAGAUAUCAGGAGGAACACCAAUGGCAAAGGCAGCUCGCUGGGACGGUACUGACGCUGAGACGCGAAAGCGUGGGGAGCAAACAGG